AAAAUUUGGAAAAUCUUUAUGUAGUCGGAAUUUGAUAUGUGAAAAUAUUAUGGUCAUAUUUAACUUUUUUUUACUUCCAAUUGUACCCAAUGGACUCCUAGCUUUCUCGAAUCAUCAUUCUAUCGUCCGUCUCAUCUUUAGAUUAUUUGUAACUUGAUCCUUGAACUUUCACUUUCUUUCACUUUAGUCAUUUUCACUCUUUUGUUAUAAAUUCCACCAUAUCUAUCCAUUUGCAACCCAAAUCAAAAUAUAAGGGCAUUUAGUGCAUUUAGGCAUCAAUAUAUCAUGCAAAUACAAGUAUAAAUGGAUGAAAACGUGACAAAUU
RNAcentral lists this long non-coding RNA (325 nucleotides) under Olea europaea (common olive). RNAcentral's name for it is "long non-coding RNA (OEUR_LNC004985)". Lineage: Eukaryota; Viridiplantae; Streptophyta; Magnoliopsida; Lamiales; Oleaceae. The record is from RNAcentral.